RNAcentral lists this ribosomal RNA (441 nucleotides) under uncultured bacterium. RNAcentral's name for it is "partial 16S ribosomal RNA". It matches the Rfam family "Bacterial small subunit ribosomal RNA", at positions 338 to 795 of the family's 1533-position model. The record is from RNAcentral.
CCUACGGGAGGCAGCAGUGGGGAAUAUUGGGCAAUGGGCGCAAGCCUGACCCAGCAACGCCGCGUGAGCGAUGAAGGUCUUCGGAUUGUAAAGCUCUGUCGCAGGGGACGAAGUAUGACGGUACCCUGUAAGAAAGCCCCGGCAAACUACGUGCCAGCAGCCGCGGUAAUACGUAGGGGGCUAGCGUUGUCCGGAAUUACUGGGCGUAAAGGGAGUGUAGCCGGGUUGACAAGUCAGAUGUGAAAUCCUGCGGCUUAACCGCAGAACUGCAUUUGAAACUGUUGAUCUUGAGUACUGGAGAGGCAGACGGAAUUCCUAGUGUAGCGGUGAAAUGCGUAGAUAUUAGGAGGAACACCAGUGGCGAAGGCGGUCUGCUGGACAGCAACUGACGGUGAGGCGCGAAAGCGUGGGGAGCAAACAGGAUUAGAUACCCGUGUAGUC